UACGAAGGGGGCUAGCGUUGCUCGGAAUCACUGGGCGUAAAGCGCACGUAGGCGGCUUACUAAGUCAGGGGUGAAAUCCUGGAGCUCAACUCCAGAACUGCCUUUGAUACUGGUGAGCUUGAGUCCGGAAGAGGUGAGUGGAACUGCGAGUGUAGAGGUGAAAUUCGUAGAUAUUCGCAAGAACACCAGUGGCGAAGGCGGCUCACUGGCCCGGAACUGACGCUGAGACGCGAAAGCGUGGGGAGCAAACAGG
This 253-nucleotide ribosomal RNA is filed under the name uncultured bacterium. Its description in RNAcentral is "partial 16S ribosomal RNA". It matches the Rfam family "Bacterial small subunit ribosomal RNA", at positions 524 to 776 of the family's 1533-position model. The record is from RNAcentral.